Harpegnathos saltator (Jerdon's jumping ant) is the source of this 1333-nucleotide long non-coding RNA. RefSeq lists it as uncharacterized. Lineage: Eukaryota; Metazoa; Arthropoda; Insecta; Hymenoptera; Formicidae. The transcript is spliced from 2 exons. The record is from RefSeq and is a predicted model, not a curated record.
UCGUUCGUUCGUUCGUUCGUUGCUUUCGCUGCACUUCUGAACUAAUGCACAAAAGUGUAAUAAGUUUUUAGCACAUGAUGCGCGGAAAAACUAAACAUAACCUGCAAUAUUUACUUUUGGCCCAUUAUAAUUUACUUGUGAUGUCGCGUUUUCAAACUAAAAGUAUAUAAAGGAAACAAGAAAUAAUAGAAAACGAAUUUUUAAAUGAUUCUGACGAAGAAAUUUCUUUUUAUAAUCUCAGCGAUAAGCUGCGCCAAGAAUAUUCGCUCUUGUUCCGUAUAAUAAUUUCAGUACUGACAGUAAAUAUAGGAACGCAGCUUUCCUUCCUUCCUUUAUUCCUUCUGGAAGGAAGACUCGAGAUCCAUUUAUGAAAUAAGGUGGCCUUGGAGGUUCAACGAAUCCUUCAUCGAGGCUUCCUCCAUUUUUAAGAUAAGGAAGAACGGGUUUGUAAUGAAUACGGGUAUUAAUCGUCAUGACGUUUUUGGAUGACAUCUUUGGUCGGAAGUCUCCAUGCCGGAGGAGGUGCCUCGUCCGGCGUGUUGUCAUCUAAAACAGAAACCGUCUGAUUUUUCGUGGACGUCCGUACUAGCUACACGCUCAUUUAACGCAUUGGUUUAUGUAAUUACACAUAUAGAAAUUGUACUAAAAUUAAUUAAUAUCAUUUGACUACAUACAAUGCCAAUAUAUUUCAUAACACACAACACCGAUAGCAUCAUCAAUACCAUACGAAAACGAAAAAAAAGGACCGCAAGUUUAAAAUUCAUAACACCAAUGAUGAAGCUAGCAUACAUUUCCACUAGUGUCGGCAGUUAUGUCGCACAAAUCAUAAGAAAAACAAAUAUACAAACAAGGGCUCUGUGCAUUCUCACAUAAAAAAUAACGAAAAGAACAGAUAAUCUUUCAGUAUAGAAUGAUAUAUUUGGUCAAGAUAUUUCCAUUACAAUGCUUAUAGAACCUACUUGAAAGACGCCACGCUAUUAAAGAAUCUAUACGUCUAAAUAUUUUUGAAAGAAAUCGGAAUAAUCGUCGAUCAACAUAAAGUUGUAUAUAUACAUAGUUCAUCGCCAAAACAGAUCCUCAAGAUAACAAUCCUAAAAGACCUCUCACAAAAAAUUCACGUAUAAAAAUCUCUAUCUUGCCAACAAAUCUCAAAUCACCCAACACAAUUUCACGCACAUUCCAGCACGAAUAAUCUUUAAUCGUUUACGUAGAAAAUCUAAUCGAGCUGUUAAUGCAUACACAAAAUCGCCGUACAGCAAAAUAGAUUUAUAUGCGAGCUUCUAACACGAAAUAAAUUUAACACGAGAUAAAGUGGCUGUCGUACUGCAAAAAA